AUGGAGGGCGCGAGGAUCUGGACGGCGCGGGGCUACGGCGGCGGCUACGAGUCGGUGUCGGUGGGCGACGGCAUGAGCAUCUUCGGCCAGAGACAGAGCCAGAGCAUCGACGUGCGGCGCCGCGGGAAGCCCCGGCGGCGAACCACGCUGCCCAAGGUCGUCAAGAUCAUGGACGAGGGACACGACAGCACGCCGUCUCUGCAGGCGAUGGAGGCCAAGCUGGACAUGGCGCGGGCAGAGCUCGAGUCCGCCAAAGGAGAGAGCCUCCAGUUCACGGCGUCCAUGGAGCGCACGCGCACGGAGGCGGCGCGCCUCGCCGAGGAGAUCGGCCGGCUGGAGGAGCAGGAGAAGAAGGCCGGAGCGCAGGUGCGGCAGCUGGAGGCCGCGCUGCGCGACGCCAAGUGCCGGCUGGGCGCCAUCACGGCCGCCAAUGAGAUGGCCGGCGAGAUCCUCGCCGACCUGGAGGCGACGCUGCGGCAGCUGGAGGAGGAGACCGAGGCGGCAGAGAAGGAGAAAACGCUGAUGGAGCAGGAGGGCCAGUGCGUCCUGGAAGACGUGGACAGCGUGGACGCCGAGAUCGCCGCCGCCGAGCAGAGGAUCAGGGGCUCGAUCAGGGAGCUGGAGGCGGCGAGGGCGUCGGAGGCCACGGUGACGGGGAGGCUGAGGGCCGCCGUCGAUGGCACGGCGGUGGAGAGGGCGUCCAUGGCGCCGCGGAGGUCCGGGAACGUGACGCUCCCGAGGUUCGAGUACGAGUACCUGACCGGCCGCGCCGAGGUGGUCCGCGCGGUCGCCGACAAGAAGGUGGCGGCGGCCGAGGCGUGGGUGGAGGCGCGGCGGGCCGGCGAGAAGGAGAUGAUCAUGCGCGCCGAGGCGAUCGAGAGGGAGCUCGGGCUUGAAUUACAUGCCGUGGACGACGACGAGAGCGCGGCGGGGCAGCAGAGGCCGCGCGACGGCUUACAGUGCGCGCACACGUCGAGGAGAGCCGCGAUGGUGAAAGGCUCAUCGGUGGCGCGUCAAGAAGGAAGACGAUGCCACUGUCGCCGUUGCCGCCACCGUCACCGUUGGCGCGGCACCCACGGGCGCAGUCGCUCGCCGUAA
RNAcentral lists this ribosomal RNA (1098 nucleotides) under Triticum aestivum (bread wheat). Its description in RNAcentral is "partial small subunit ribosomal RNA". The record is from RNAcentral. Lineage: Eukaryota; Viridiplantae; Streptophyta; Magnoliopsida; Poales; Poaceae.